AGAGUUUGAUCCUGGCUCAGAUUGAACGCUGGCGGAAUGCUUUACACAUGCAAGUCGAACGGAACUUAGGGGCUUGCUCCUAAGUUUAGUGGCGAACGGGCGAGUAACAUAUCGGAACGUAUCCAUUAAUGGGGGAUAACUAAUCGAAAGGUUGGCUAAUACCGCAUACGCCCUACGGGGGAAAGCAGGGGAUCUUCGGACCUUGCGUUAAUGGAGCGGCCGAUAUCUGAUUAGCUAGUUGGUGAGGUAAAGGCUCACCAAGGCGACGAUCAGUAGCUGGUCUGAGAGGACGACCAGCCACACUGGAACUGAGACACGGUCCAGACUCCUACGGGAGGCAGCAGUGGGGAAUUUUGGACAAUGGGCGAAAGCCUGAUCCAGCCAUUCCGCGUGAGUGAAGAAGGCCUUCGGGUUGUAAAGCUCUUUCGCAAGGGAAGAAAACUUAUAUUCUAAUAAAGUAUGAGGAUGACGGUACCUUGAUAAGAAGCACCGGCUAACUACGUGCCAGCAGCCGCGGUAAUACGUAGGGUGCGAGCGUUAAUCGGAAUUACUGGGCGUAAAGCGUGCGCAGGCGGUUUUGAAAGUCAGAUGUGAAAUCUCCGAGCUCAACUUGGGAACUGCGUUUGAAACUCCAAAGCUAGAGUAUAGGAGAGGGGGGUAGAAUUCCACGUGUAGCAGUGAAAUGCGUAGAGAUGUGGAGGAAUACCAAUGGCGAAAGCACCCCCCUUGCCUUAAUACUUGACCCCAUGCACGAAAAACCGUGGGGGAGCAAAAAAGGAAUUAAAUACCCCUGGUAUUCCACGCCCUAAACGAUGUCUACUAGUUGUUGGUGGAGGAAAAUCCAUUAGUAACGCAGCUAACGCGUGAAGUAGCCGCCCUGGGGAGUACGGUCGCAAGAUUAAAACUCAAAUGAAUUGACGGGGGCCCGCACAAGCGGUGGAUUAUGUGGAUUAAUUCGAUGCAACGCGAAAAACCUUACCUGGCCUUGACAUGCCACUAACGAAGCAGAGAUGCAUUAGGUGCUCGAAAGAGAAAGUGGACACAGGUGCUGCAUGGCUGUCGUCAGCUCGUGUCGUGAGAUGUUGGGUUAAGUCCCGCAACGAGCGCAACCCUUGUCGUUAAUUGCCAUCAUUUAGUUGGGCACUUUAACGAGACUGCCGGUGACAAACCGGAGGAAGGUGGGGAUGACGUCAAGUCCUCAUGGCCCUUAUGGCCAGGGCUUCACACGUAAUACAAUGGUCGGUACAGAGGGUUGCCAACCCGCGAGGGGGAGCCAAUCCCAGAAAGCCGAUCGUAGUCCGGAUUGCAGUCUGCAACUCGACUGCAUGAAGUCGGAAUCGCUAGUAAUCGCGGAUCAGCAUGUCGCGGUGAAUACGUUCCCGGGCCUUGUACACACCGCCCGUCACACCAUGGGAGUGGGUUUCACCAGAAGUAGGUAGUCUAACCGCAAGGGGGACGCUUACCACGGUGGGAUUCAUGACUGGGGUGAAGUCGUAACAAGGUAACCA
This 1508-nucleotide ribosomal RNA is filed under the name uncultured bacterium. Its description in RNAcentral is "bacterial SSU rRNA". It matches the Rfam family "Bacterial small subunit ribosomal RNA". The record is from RNAcentral.